RNAcentral lists this ribosomal RNA (494 nucleotides) under uncultured bacterium. RNAcentral's name for it is "partial 16S ribosomal RNA". It matches the Rfam family "Bacterial small subunit ribosomal RNA", at positions 28 to 507 of the family's 1533-position model. The record is from RNAcentral.
GACGAACGCUGGCGGCGUGCUUAACACAUGCAAGUCGAACGGAAAGGCCUGCUUUCCCUUGUGGAUUGCGGGUACUCGAGUGGCGAACGGGUGAGUAACACGUGAGUGAUCUGCCCCCAACUUGGGUAUAAGCCUGGGAAACUGUGUCUAAUUCCCGAUAGGACUGCAGGGUGGUGCCUGUGGUGGAAAACGAUUUUCUAGUGGUUGGGGAUGAGCUCGCGGCCUAUCAGCUUGUUGGUGGGGUAAUGGCCUACCAAGGCGGCGACGGGUAGCCGGCCUGAGAGGGUGGACGGCCACAUUGGGACUGAGAUACGGCCCAGACUCCUACGAGAGGCAGCAGUGGGGAAUAUUGCACCAUGGGCGGAAGCCUGAUGCAGCGACGCCGCGUGGGGGAUGACGGCCUUCGGGUUGUAAACUCCUUUCGACCGCGAGGAAGCCACCUGGUUGGAAGGGUGGUGACGGUAGUGGUAGAAGAAGCACCGGCUAACUACGUG